Oncorhynchus kisutch (coho salmon) is the source of this 1662-nucleotide long non-coding RNA. RefSeq lists it as uncharacterized. The transcript has 3 exons. The record is from RefSeq and is a predicted model, not a curated record. NCBI's taxonomy places the organism in Eukaryota, Metazoa, Chordata, Actinopteri, Salmoniformes, Salmonidae.
CAAAAGGAAAUGCUACACCUCUUGUCGUCUGUCAAUUGUGGCCAAGUAUAGGCGCCAGGGCCGAAUGCUUGGUUGCGGUUGGAACCAUUGGGCAGCCUAUAGUGGAGAGAAAAGGGAAGGGAGCGAGACGAGAGAUAAUCUCAUCCGCUCGCGAUGUUUAGAUUGGGACAGCGUCUUCUUCCCCGGGCCUCGAGCCUCGCGCCCUUUACAACGGCCGGUUUGAGAGAGUUAAAGGGAGGCCCGGGCUCAAAGUAAACACAAUCUUUGUACUUAAAGUUACUGAGAAGAGUGCACGUGUGGAUGACCGGGUUCGAUUGUUUGUUUUGAACAAUGACUAUGGACAAUUAGGUUAUUUUCAUAAGGGGUGCAGACAUGAGUGGGCCUGGGAGGGCAUAGGUCCACCCACUUGGGAGCCAGGCCCAUCCACUGGGGAGCCAGGCCCAUCCACUGGGGAGCCAGGCCCAGCCACUGGGGAGCCAGGCCCAUCCACAAGGGAGCCAGGCCCAUCCACUGGGGAGCCAGGCCCAUCCACUGGGGAGCCAGGCCCAUCCACUGGGGAGCCAGGCCCAGCCACUGGGGAGCCAGGCCCAUCCACUGGGGAGCCAGGCCCAGCCACUGGGGAGCCAGGCCCAUCCACAAGGGAGCCAGGCCCAUCCACUGGGGAGCCAGGCCCAUCCACUGGGGAGCCAGGCCCAUCCACUGGGGAGCCAGGCCCAGCCAAUCAGAAGGAGGUUUUCCACACAAAAGAGAAAUGAACAUGAAAUGAUCUGCCAACAGCCCUGGUGGACAUUCCUGCGACCCCAGACUACCCCAGGUCCCAGGGGCGGCUCGCUGGCAGAGAAAGAAAUCAUCUCUGUCGCUCUACUCUGGUCUGGACAGAGCUGCUCCUCUGCUACACAUUGGCCUGGGAGUGGAGGAGGAGGAAGCCUUGCUGGUUCCCAAGAGAAAGUGACCCUCAUGGCCUAGAAAUCUAAAUAACCGGUGGCCAUGUUAGCCUUCACUGCAGCUGGCACGGAACACAACAAUGAACCAAUCCAUCAUGGGGUAGAGGUCUGCUGGUACAGCUCAGGGACCAACGUAUCCUACGUGGCAUAUUGUAAACUAUCCUACCUUAUUAUAUAUAUCCUACCUUAUAUCCUGGCCUAUGGUAAACUUUCCUACCUUAUUAUAUAUAUCCUACCUUAUAUCCUGGCCUAUGGUAAACUAUCCUACCUUAUUAUAUAUAUCCUACCUUAUACCCUGGCCUAUGGUAAACUAUCCUAACUUAUUAUAUAUCCUACCUUAUACCCUGGCCUAUGGUAAACUAUCCUAACUUAUUAUAUAUCCUACCUUAUAUCCUGGCCUAUGGUAAACUAUCCUAUCUUAUUAUAUAUAUCCUACCUUAUAUCCUGGGCUAUGGUAAACUAUCCUAACUUAUUAUAUAUCCUACCUUACAUCCUGACCUAUGGUAAACUAUCCUAACUUAUCAUAUAUAUCCUACCUUAUAUCCUGGCCUAUGGUAAACGAUCCUACCUUAUAUCCGGGCCUAUGGUAAACUAUCCUAACUUAUUAUAUAUCCUACCUUAUAUCCUGGCCUAUGGUAAACUAUCCUAACUUAUUAUAUAUCCUACCUUAUAUCCUGGCCUAUGGUAAACGAUCCUACCUUAUAUCCUGGCCUAUGGU